UAAGACGGAGGGAGCAAGCGUUGUCCGGAAUUACUGGGCGUAAAGAGCUCGUAGGCGGGGGCUUAAGUCCGAGAGUAAAUUCGCCGGCUUAACUGGCGACUCAUCUUGGAUACUGGGCUUCUUGAGGACAGGAGAGGAAAGGGGAAUUCCUAGUGUAGCGGUGAAAUGCGUAGAUAUUAGGAGGAACACCCGUGGCGAAGGCGCCUUUCUGGCCUGUUCCUGACGCUGAGGAGCGAAAGCCAGGGGAGCGAACGGGAUUAGAUACCCCGGUAGUCCUGGCUGUAAACGAUGGAUACUAGGUGUAGGGGGUAUCGACCCCCUCUGUGCCGCAGCUAACGCAAUAAGUAUCCCGCCUGGGGAGUACGGCCGCAAGGUUGAAACUUAAAUGAAUUGACGG
RNAcentral lists this ribosomal RNA (397 nucleotides) under uncultured bacterium. RNAcentral describes it as "bacterial SSU rRNA". It matches the Rfam family "Bacterial small subunit ribosomal RNA", at positions 521 to 916 of the family's 1533-position model. The record is from RNAcentral.